UUGAAAGCUAGCCUUCGGGUUCGCAUUGUAAUUUGUAGAGGAUGAUUUGGGGAAGCCGCCUGUCUAAGUUCCUUGGAACAGGACGUCAUAGAGGGUGAGAAUCCCGUAUGUGACAGGAAAUGGCACCCUAUGUAAAUCUCCUUCGACGAGUCGAGUUGUUUGGGAAUGCAGCUCUAAAUGGGAGGUAAAUUUCUUCUAAAGCUAAAUAUUGGCGAGAGACCGAUAGCGCACAAGUAGAGUGAUCGAAAGAUGAAAAGCACUUUGGAAAGAGAGUUAAAAAGCACGUGAAAUUGUUGAAAGGGAAGCGCUUGCAAUCAGACUUGUUUAAACUGUUCGGCCGGUCUUCUGACCGGUUUACUCAGUUUGGACAGGCCAGCAUCAGUUUCGGCGGCCGGAUAAAGGCUCUGGGAAUGUGGCCUCCACUUCGGUGGAGGUGUUAUAGCCCAGGGUGUAAUACGGCCAGCCGGGACUGAGGUCCGCGCUUCGGCUAGGAUGCUGGCGUAAUGGUUGUAAGCGACCCGUCUU
This 525-nucleotide ribosomal RNA is filed under the name Aureobasidium pullulans. Its description in RNAcentral is "eukaryotic LSU rRNA". It matches the Rfam family "Eukaryotic large subunit ribosomal RNA", at positions 115 to 655 of the family's 3401-position model. The record is from RNAcentral. Lineage: Eukaryota; Fungi; Ascomycota; Dothideomycetes; Dothideales; Saccotheciaceae.